CCUACGGGAUGCAGCAGUGGGGAAUAUUGGGCAAUGGAGGCAACUCUGACCCAGCAACGCCGCGUGAGUGAUGAAGGUCUUCGGAUUGUAAAACUCUUUAAGUGGGGACGAAAAAAGACGGUACCUGACUAAGAAGCCCCGGCUAACUACGUGCCAGCAGCCGCGGUAAUACGUAGGGGGCAAGCGUUAUCCGGAUUUACUGGGUGUAAAGGGAGCGUAGACGGCAAGGCAAGCCAGAAGUGAAAGGGCAGGGCUCAACCCUGUACAUGCUUUUGGAACUGCGGUGCUAGAGUGCAGGAGAGGUAAGUGGAAUUCCUAGUGUAGCGGUGAAAUGCGUAGAUAUUAGGAGGAACACCAGUGGCGAAGGCGGCUUACUGGACUGUAACUGACGUUGAGGCUCGAAAGCGUGGGGAGCAAACAGGAUUAGAUACCCGGGUAGUC
Molecule: ribosomal RNA, 441 nt
Filed under: uncultured bacterium
Lineage: Bacteria
Description: partial 16S ribosomal RNA
Rfam family: Bacterial small subunit ribosomal RNA
Source: RNAcentral